Molecule: ribosomal RNA, 229 nt
Filed under: uncultured bacterium
Lineage: Bacteria
Description: partial 16S ribosomal RNA
Rfam family: Bacterial small subunit ribosomal RNA
Source: RNAcentral
UGCGUAGGCGGAAUAUUAAGUCAGUGGUGAAGUCCUGCAGCUUAACUGUAGAAUUGCCAUUGAUACUGAUCUUCUUGAAUUUAGUUGAGGUGGGCGGAAUGUGUAAUGUAGCGGUGAAAUGCUUAGAUAUUACACAGAACACCGAUUGCGAAGGCAGCUCACUAAACUAACAUUGACGCUAAGGUACGAAAGCGUGGGGAGCGAACAGGAUUAGAUACCCUGGUAGUCC